AAAGGGAGGAGGAGGCGCCAUGGCGGCGUUGUCGUGGAGACCAAGGGAGGCCGGGUAUCGGCCCAGCAUUUGGGAGGUGGGACCUCCGGAGCUCUAGAAGCUGGCAAGCGACGAGGAGGAGGAGACCAGGCUAGAGUUCUGCGCCAGGAGUGCAGGUUACGUCUCCUUGACUACGGAUCGCUUUUUUUUUUUUGUCCUCCCUCUCCACCCGGGCAGAACUUAAGGAUCGAUGUCGGUGCCAGGAAGCAGGACGUUUCCCUGGUGUGGACUGGGGGAGAGCGCUCCCUGCGACGCGUGCUCGAGGUGCCCCUGUUGGACAGACUACUGCCCCGUCCUGAGGCCUCAGUUUCUCUUCUCCGUCUCAGCACUGAAGAAGCAUACUUGCAUUUUAGAGCAGAAAGACAUCUGAAGAGAUCAGCUGACGCUCUUUACCUAGAUAGUUCCAGGACUGAUUAUGGCUCAUGCAAGCCUAGUGGGCCAGGGUUAGCCCUACCCCAGCCCGCAGCAUAUUUCCUCCUCUGUAUAAUAAGGAUAAGAGAACCCCCCCCCCCCGAUCUGAAGACUCCUUGCCAUCAAAAGGAAGACAGUGAAAGUUGUUCCUCUUACCAUAUUCAUAAAUGAACAACUGUCCUCAGGAUUCACAAGCGAUGAGUUGCUGACUCAGAACUUUGUCACCAGUUUGCCCACGGCGGCCUAACCUGCCCUGACCCAUCUGUCUGCCCCUGUCUUCUCCUCUCGUUUAGUGAGUUCCAAUCAUGUCUCCUUUCUGCGCCUGGAACACACUGAUCUUCCCAUUUAUCUCUGACGGCCUACUUUGAUUAGCUCCACUUGGAUUUCCUAAUAGGCCUCUGAAACCUAAGCUGCAAACUCUCCCUCUCCAAUCUGCCAGCUGCAGCUGUUCCUGUCACUGGACCUAGGGCCACACCCUCAGGAGGAAACCGUGAGGGAAGCUCUAACGGGCUCCCCAGUGGGAGCUGCAGCCCAUGCCCCCGACCAGGGACCUCAGACCUUCUAGAGGACAACAGAGCUACAUGGCUAUUCCCCUCACCCAGCACUCAAUCAAUGCAGAAUCCAAAACGGGGCUUUCCUGGAAGACGUCUAGAGAGACUCACUCGCUCAAGGGAAGGAAGAGUGGAACACCCAGCCCUCAGGAAGCUCAGGCAGAGAGGAAGCAGCCGAGCCUACGGCCUGGGCCCAGUGUUUCUCUCCAGCUCUCACCUCUCUGUGAGGCUUCAUUGUCUCCUCCUGCAGACUGGCUUUCUCCCCAUGGUGCGAAACAAGGCUGCCAUAAGCUUUCCAGCCUCUCGCAUCUCGGCAUCUGUGCCAGAGCAGUGGACUCUCCAGAGAGAAGGAUCCAGAGAGAGCCACUGAUGGCCAAGUUGGGUGGGAUGGUGCUGCUGUAGCCACGCUGGAUUCCCUCCGGACUUACUGGCACCCCCUCCACCCAAUUUUAUUCGAUCUCAAGGAUUUAAAUUCCAUCUAGAUGCUGAUGCAUCCCUGAAAGGGAGCUUUGCCGUUUUUACUACCUAGCAACUAAAAACUCUGUAAUAGGGAAGGGUGAAGCUACUGUAAUAAAUCCACACAUGGUAAUGGAACGUCA
Saimiri boliviensis boliviensis (Bolivian squirrel monkey) is the source of this 1600-nucleotide non-coding RNA. NCBI's taxonomy places the organism in Eukaryota, Metazoa, Chordata, Mammalia, Primates, Cebidae. The record is from RefSeq and is a predicted model, not a curated record.